AAAUCUGAAGCGGAGGCUGCAAGAGCAUAGCUUGAAAGUCCCGAACAUGGCGGAGCAGCACAGAGUCCACCCGGUGGACGUCGAGUCUCCACCGCCGUCGGCACCGGAGGCUCCCCCGAGCUUACUACAACCGGAGAAGGCCGGCGCCACCGCACCGGCCGCCCAUUCGAGGCCUCCAGGAAAGAGAAGGAGCCGCUGCUGCACGUGUUUGUGCUGGUCUCUCCUCGCCAUCGUCAUCCUCAUCGUCGUCAUCGCCGUCGCCGCCGGCGUCCUCUACCUCGUCUUCCGCCCCAAGAUCCCGAAGUACUCCGUGGACCGCCUCGCCGUCUCGAGCUUCACGGUCGACGACAACGCGACCGUCGCCGUCACGUUCAACGUGACGGUCACGGCGAGGAACCCCAACAGGAGAAUCGGCAUCUACUACCAGGGCGGGAGCGACCUGAGCGCGUGGUACACCGACGAGCGGCUCUGCACCGGGAGCUUCCCAGCGUUCUACCAGGGCCACAGAAACACGACGGUGCUGCACGUGUUGCUCACCGGAGAAGCAAAGAUCGGGAGCGAGUUGCUAACGGAGCUGCAGCAGCAGCAGCAGACCGGGACGAUACCGUUGGCCGUCCGGGGAGUCG
Molecule: long non-coding RNA, 626 nt
Filed under: Musa acuminata (dwarf banana)
Lineage: Eukaryota; Viridiplantae; Streptophyta; Magnoliopsida; Zingiberales; Musaceae
Description: long non-coding RNA (MACU_LNC005385)
Source: RNAcentral